RNAcentral lists this ribosomal RNA (440 nucleotides) under uncultured bacterium. RNAcentral's name for it is "partial 16S ribosomal RNA". It matches the Rfam family "Bacterial small subunit ribosomal RNA", at positions 338 to 795 of the family's 1533-position model. The record is from RNAcentral.
CCUACGGGAGGCAGCAGUAGGGAAUAUUGCUCAAUGGGGGAAACCCUGAAGCAGCAACGCCGCGUGGAGGAUGAAGGUUUUCGGAUUGUAAACUCCUUUUGUUAGAGAAGAUAAUGACGGUAUCUAACGAAUAAGCACCGGCUAACUCCGUGCCAGCAGCCGCGGUAAUACGGAGGGUGAAAGCGUUACUCGGAAUCACUGGGCGUAAAGAGCGCGUAGGCGGGAUAGCAAGUCAGAUGUGAAAUCCUAUUGUUUAACCAUAGAACUGCAUUUGAAACUGUUAUUCUAGAGUAUGGGAGAGGUAGGUGGAAUGCUUGGUGUAGGGGUAAAAUCCGUAGAGAUCAAGAGGAAUACUCAUUGCGAAGGCGACCUGCUAGAACAUAACUGACGCUGAUGCGCGAAAGCGUGGGGAGCAAACAGGAUUAGAUACCCUGGUAGUC